Molecule: transfer RNA, 86 nt
Filed under: Bifidobacterium tsurumiense
Lineage: Bacteria; Bacillati; Actinomycetota; Actinomycetes; Bifidobacteriales; Bifidobacteriaceae
Also listed under: 1 other name
Description: tRNA-Leu
Rfam family: tRNA
About the family: Transfer RNA (tRNA) molecules are approximately 80 nucleotides in length. Their secondary structure includes four short double-helical elements and three loops (D, anti-codon, and T loops).
Source: RNAcentral
GCGAGCGUGGCGGAAUGGUAGACGCGCUGUCUUCAGGUGGCAGUGAGCGUAUGCUCGUGGGGGUUCAAGUCCCCCCGCUCGCACCA